GAUGAACGCUGGCGGCGUGCUUAACACAUGCAAGUCGAACGGAAAGGCUCCUGCUUGCAGGGGUACUCGAGUGGCGAACGGGUGAGUAACACGUGGGUGAUCUGCCCUGCACUUCGGGAUAAGCCUGGGAAACUGGGUCUAAUACCGGAUAGGACGAUGGUUUGGAUGCCAUUGUGGAAAGUUUUUCGGUGUGGGAUGAGCUCGCGGCCUAUCAGCUUGUUGGUGGGGUAAUGGCCUACCAAGGCGUCGACGGGUAGCCGGCCUGAGAGGGUGUACGGCCACAUUGGGACUGAGAUACGGCCCAGACUCCUACGGGAGGCAGCAGUGGGGAAUAUUGCACAAUGGGCGCAAGCCUGAUGCAGCGACGCCGCGUGGGGGAUGACGGCCUUCGGGUUGUAAACUCCUUGCGCUAGGGACGAAGCGCAAGUGACGGUACCUGGAGAAGAAGCACCGGCUAACUACGUG
RNAcentral lists this ribosomal RNA (465 nucleotides) under uncultured bacterium. Its description in RNAcentral is "partial 16S ribosomal RNA". It matches the Rfam family "Bacterial small subunit ribosomal RNA", at positions 28 to 507 of the family's 1533-position model. The record is from RNAcentral.